RNAcentral lists this ribosomal RNA (253 nucleotides) under uncultured bacterium. RNAcentral describes it as "partial 16S ribosomal RNA". It matches the Rfam family "Bacterial small subunit ribosomal RNA", at positions 524 to 776 of the family's 1533-position model. The record is from RNAcentral.
UACGUAGGGUGCAAGCGUUGUCCGGAAUUAUUGGGCGUAAAGAGCUCGUAGGCGGUCUGUCACGUCGGAUGUGAAAAUCCAGGGCUUAACCCUGGACCUGCAUUCGAUACGGGCAGACUAGAGUUCGGUAGGGGAGACUGGAAUUCCUGGUGUAGCGGUGAAAUGCGUAGAUAUCUGGAGGAACACCGGUGGCGAAGGCGGCAUCCUGGACCGGUAUUGACGCUGAGGCGCGAAAGCCAGGGGAGCAAACGGG